ACUGCGGCCGCCAGCGCCGGGCCCGCAGUGAGGAGGAGAACCUCAUUUUCCUCAACACAGAUCUAAGGGGACACCGCCUCACUUUGAGACAACUUGAGGCUGCGUCAGUGCUCUUUCUCUUCAAACUUCUUUAACAUGCCUUGGCUUAGUUGUUCUGCUUGAUUUUCCAAAAGAAGAACCUUCUCUGGAUAAGGCAGAGGAUAGUGAAGGGAGGAUUUAGUAAGUACCAUUUUUAUGAGCCUCUGCACCAACCCACUGAUGCAUGGUGUGACACAGCACCUGACAAGAAUAAGUACAACUAUUACGGCUGCGAGGGAAGUAAGAAUUGAGGCUAUUAUUGUUUUCCAUUUACCGAACCACCUUUCUAGCCAUCCUGUAAAGGAGUCAUUUACCCCUGAGUUGUUGGCUAACUCACUGGACAGAGCAGUCAGACCUUGCAAUGGCUUUGUUAUAGUUCCAUCAGGGGUGGUGUUGUUUGGGAUGAAGGUACAACAUUGAGUUUUAAUCAUGACACAAACUCCUCCUCUUUCUGUUAAUAUCAUGUCUAAGGCUAUUCUGUUUUCCCAAGCCAUCUGGCUGGUAGCCCGUAAUUGCUCAGCUAUUCCUUUAACAGCAUCUCUACCAUAGUUAAUAAAUCAUUGUUGGUUGUAGUAGAUGUAGGCUAUCCAAUCUACAUUUUUAUGGUCACCCACCAAAAUAUUGACUCAAAUCCUGUAGCUGUUUGAUUUUGGGCUUUAAAUUGAUCUGAUAUUCCCCAAGGGACUCCAAUUGCAUUUAAAUGGAUGUGAGAGUUGAAAGACCCAUAAGGGUUUUCUCUCACUUUACCAUGUCUUAUUUUUCCUCCCUCUGGUUGAUGAAAUGCCAGGGUGAAAGGGAUAGCCAAUUGGACUAAAGCACAAGUGACACUCCAAUUAUUUGGCAGAGUGCCCAGUAAAGGUCCACCACAAUACCACCACACCUCCACUCAGGGAUGAACAAGGGCUGACUGAUAAGCUCUUGAAAAUUCUUAAACUCACUGC
RNAcentral lists this long non-coding RNA (1019 nucleotides) under Homo sapiens (human). RNAcentral's name for it is "HSALNT0340556". Lineage: Eukaryota; Metazoa; Chordata; Mammalia; Primates; Hominidae. The record is from RNAcentral.